AGAACGAACGCUGGCGGCAGGCUUAACACAUGCAAGUCGAGCGCCCCGCAAGGGGAGCGGCAGACGGGUGAGUAACGCGUGGGGAUGUACCCAAAGGUACGGAACAACUCCGGGAAACUGGAGCUAAUACCGUAUGUGCCCGAGAGGGGAAAGAUUUAUCGCCUUUGGAUCAACCCGCGUCAGAUUAGCUAGUUGGUAGGGUAAUGGCCUACCAAGGCGACGAUCUGUAGCUGGUCUGAGAGGAUGAUCAGCCACACUGGGACUGAGACACGGCCCAGACUCCUACGGGAGGCAGCAGUGGGGAAUAUUGGACAAUGGGCGCGAAGCCUGAUCCAGCCAUGCGCGUGAGUGAUGACGGCCUUAGGGUGUAAAGCUCUUUCGACGGGGUACGAUAAUGACGGUACCCGUAGAAGAACGCCCGGCUAACUCGUGCCAGCAGCCG
This 442-nucleotide ribosomal RNA is filed under the name uncultured bacterium. RNAcentral's name for it is "SSU rRNA". It matches the Rfam family "Bacterial small subunit ribosomal RNA", at positions 26 to 517 of the family's 1533-position model. The record is from RNAcentral.